CUACGGGUUGCUGCAGUAGGGAAUAUUGCACAAUGGGCGAAAGCCUGAUGCAGCAACGCCGCGUGUGCGAUGAAGGCCUUCGGGUUGUAAAGCACUUUUCGGGGAGAUGAGGAAGGACAGUAUCCCCGGAAUAAGGCUCGGCUAACUACGUGCCAGCAGCCGCGGUAAAACGUAGGAGUCAAGCGUUAUCCGAAUUUACUGGGCGUAAAGCGCGUGCAGGCGGGUUAGUAAGUUGGAUGUGAAAGCUCCCGGCUCAACUGGGAGAGGACGUUCAAUACUGCUGGACUAGAGGACGACAGAGGGAGGUGGAAUUCCCGGUGUAGUGGUGAAAUGCGUAGAUAUCGGGAGGAACACCAGUGGCGAAGGCGGCCUCCUGGGUCGUGCCUGACGCUAAGACGCGAAAGCUAGGGGAGCGAACGGGAUUAGAUACCCGCGUAGUC
This 440-nucleotide ribosomal RNA is filed under the name uncultured bacterium. RNAcentral's name for it is "partial 16S ribosomal RNA". It matches the Rfam family "Bacterial small subunit ribosomal RNA", at positions 339 to 795 of the family's 1533-position model. The record is from RNAcentral.